GAAAUGCGAUAAGUAAUGUGAAUUGCAGAAUUCAGUGAAUCAUCGAAUCUUUGAACGCACAUUGCGCCCGCCAGUAUUCUGGCGGGCAUGCCUGUUCGAGCGUCAUUACAACCCUCAGGCCCCCGGGCCUGGCGUUGGGGAUCGGCGGAAGCCCCCUGCGGGCACAACGCCGUCCCCCAAAUACAGUGGCGGUCCUGCCGCAGCUUCCAUUGCGUAGUAGCUAACACCUCGCAACUGGAGAGCGGCGCGGCCACGCCGUAAAACACCCAACUUCUGAAUGUUGACCUCGAAUCAGGUAGGAAUACCCGCUGAACUUAAGC
Molecule: unclassified non-coding RNA, 320 nt
Filed under: plant metagenome
Description: partial contains 5.8S ribosomal RNA, internal transcribed spacer 2, and large subunit ribosomal RNA
Rfam family: 5.8S ribosomal RNA (bases 1-105)
Source: RNAcentral